UACCGCCAUUGCAGCAUUAGCUUCACGUCGCGGUUAUAUUCGCCGCUUCUCCAUCCACGCCAGCUCACUGACAGACGUCCUGCCCAUCGGUCAGGAAUGAACAGAUUUUGGAGAAACCUCCGUUGACGCCCCUUUUACACCUCCAACCGUAAACAGAUGGAGGUCAGUCCCGUUUAUAUGCAGAGUGAUGACAGUGAACAGGACAGGCCCGCUUAUCCCCGGGUUUUCCCAACAGGCGAAGCCCGGAAGAGCGACCACCUUAAGGCGGGACUCUGCGUGGACUUCCCGGUGUCGGUGGUUCUUCCGGCCGGCGGCACCGGAGAGAGAACCGGGCUGCAGACACCAAAACAGUUCUGUCCGUUUCUGGGUAGACCGCUCAUAAGCUACACUAUAGAGUCCUUUGAGAGGGUGUCAUGGAUCCAAACCGUUGUGGUUGUUGUUGCGAAGGAAAACAUUGGCUUGAUGAUGGACAUCAUCCAACGGUUCCUGCACAAGAAGGUCCUAGUGGUACCCGGCGGCUCAACUCGUCACAGGUCCAUCUGCAAUGGAGUGGCGGCUCUGGGGGAGCAGCGGAGGCCGGCGGCCCACAAACCCAAGGUGGUCAUCAUACACGACGCUGUCCGCCCGUUUGUGGACGAGGACUUCCUGCACAAGAUAGCGACGGCUGCAAAGGAGCAAGGAGCAGCUGGAGCGAUCAGACCACUUGUUUCCACUGUGAUCGCCACAACGUCGGAGGGAUACCUGGAUCAUUCGUUAGAGCGAGCCAAGUACAGGGCUAGCGAAAUGCCUCAGGGGUUCACAUACGAUGUCAUCUGUGAGGCCUACCAGAAGUGCACCGAGUCAGACUUCGAGUUCGGUACCGAGUGUCUCCAUCUUGCUCUGCAGUACUGCGGCACCAACGCCAAACUCAUCGAUGGUCCGCCAACCUUGUGGAAGGUGACCUAUAAACGGGAUUUGGCUGCUGCAGAGUCCAUCAUCAAAGAGUCUUUGUCGCAGUCAGCUUGCCUUAUAACCGGGGGAUUGGAAGCUGCUGUCUCUCUGGCCAAUGUUCUCCAAAAAGCUUUUGGAGCUCUGGAUAUGGAGCUGAACGUCACGCCAGAUCUGAUGGGAGACAACGGCAGGUAUCUGCUGGAAGACUGGAACUUCAUUAAGGUUUCUUUUGAUCCAUGUUGCCCUUCAGAAGUGGAGGCCUUAAUUGUGGCGUUGGAGGCAGAAAACCGAGCUCUUCUCAACCCGGCAGUGAUCAUCUGGGUGAGUUAGCAGCCGGGACUCUGCAGCCAUGUCGAUAUGUGUGUUUUAAAACCGAUUUGUUCUGAUCUGCUGAGACAUUUCCUGAACCUUUGUCCUCCAGAACACAAUGACCAUAAACCUUCAGUCUGUUGAGACUCAAAUGGAAGAAUUAUGUGCAAAAAGUGAAUUUUGAAUAACAGCUCCCCUUUAAGUUUGAUUUCCAGGCUGAUGUCAGUUUGUUUUUCUCUAAUUUAUUCUUGAUUGAGGUCAGUCAAGAACAAAUUAGAAAAGUUAUAUAAAAGUGUUAUUUUUAUUAUUCUGCAGAUCUGGCCGUAUAAUCAGGCCUUGGUGUCUGUGGCUACAGAUUGUUGUUAAUCAUGAUUAAUGAUUUCAAAAGAGAAAGCAGUUAUAGUUUAUGAGCCUAAGUGAUUCAGAUAUUUUAAAAUAAUGACUUUUUUCACAUUGUUGUCAUCUGAACCACUCGUUGAAACAGCCAAGGAUCAAAACCCACAGCGACGCUUCUGCAGUUCCAGGAGGAGAAACCUUCAUCUCUUCAUCUAACGAAGGCAGUCUAAACUUUUUAACUUUUCUCCCCAGACGACCAAAAUCUUGGAAACCUGUUCCCAGCUCUGGAACAUGUGCUCAAAAAGCACGUUACAUAAAACCACUUUAACGAAAUGAGUGCAAAUGUCACAGAGUGUUAUUUUUAUUGCAGAUUUAGUCACUGACGACUUCCUUAGCAGAGCAUCCACCGCUGCCUGUCACAGCAAGACCAAAUACAUUCUGUCCUUAACCUUCAAGGCAAACUGAGCCGUCUGCGGUUUAUUUAUUCAUUUCAAGGCUGUUUUUCUUUAGCUUAUAUGUGAAAAGUUUAUUUGCAUAUGUAACAGCUCUUGUUUGUCUUGGGUUGGAAGCAGAGACGGUAAGACGUUCUGAGAAUUUGGUCGUUAUAAGUGCAGCUGGGCCUUGAGCUGAUGUGGCUGCAAACAAAGUAAGGAGACAAAUAAACGAGCUGGACACUCUGUUCCAAUGACAAAUGAUCGGCUGGGAGGCUGAGAUACUAACCAUGCAUUUGAGUGUCACAGAGGAGCCGUCUACCAGCCGGAGAGCGACGGAGUCUGCUGCUCUGAUUGACCUGGCCUCAACAGCUAAGCU
Poecilia reticulata (guppy) is the source of this 2385-nucleotide non-coding RNA. The record is from RefSeq and is a predicted model, not a curated record. NCBI's taxonomy places the organism in Eukaryota, Metazoa, Chordata, Actinopteri, Cyprinodontiformes, Poeciliidae.